GACGAACGCUGGCGGCGUGCUUAACACAUGCAAGUCGAACGGAAAGGCCUGCUUUCCCUUGUGGAUUGCGGGUACUCGAGUGGCGAACGGGUGAGUAACACGUGAGUGAUCUGCCCCCAACUUGGGUAUAAGCCUGGGAAACUGGGUCUAAUUCCCGAUAGGACUGCAGGGUGGUGCCUGUGGUGGAAAACGAUUUUCUAGUGGUUGGGGAUGAGCUCGCGGCCUAUCAGCUUGUUGGUGGGGUAAUGGCCUACCAAGGCGGCGACGGGUAGCCGGCCUGGGAGGGUGGACGGCCAGAUUGGGACUGAGAUACGGCCCAGACUCCUACGGGAGGCAGCAGUGGGGAAUAUUAGACGAUGGGCGGAAGCCUGAUGCAGCGACGCCGCGUGGGGGAUGACGGCCUUCGGGUUGUAAACUCCUUUCGACCGCGAGGAAGCCACCUGGUUGGAAGGGUGGUGACGGUAGUGGUAGAAGAAGCACCGGCUAACUACGUG
RNAcentral lists this ribosomal RNA (494 nucleotides) under uncultured bacterium. Its description in RNAcentral is "partial 16S ribosomal RNA". It matches the Rfam family "Bacterial small subunit ribosomal RNA", at positions 28 to 507 of the family's 1533-position model. The record is from RNAcentral.